CUCCCAGCCGGGCGGUUCUGCCCGCCAAGCCGCGCUGCCGUCAAUCAUUCAUGCCGUGGCUGUGGCUGCGCGCACGACUCGCGCGGACGGGACGCCCCGUGUUGGCAUUCGCCGAGGGGCGACAGCGGCACCGCUCCGCUCCGGGCUCCGCAGCCGUGCUUUGCUCCCAUCAGGGCGGUCAGCAGAGAGCUGUGCCGCACGCUCCGUAGGAAGCAGAAGCGUAAUUAAUGCUUGCGGAGCACAAACGUGCCGCUACGCGCUCCUCGUUCUGUAAAGACCUCAAUGCUUUUCUAACAAAGCGUUAUUUAGCCAAGAACGGCAAACGUUGCUGCAGAAAACAGCAGCUGGAUUUUGUGGAGAGGUAACGGACUUCAAUUAGUGUGACUCGCAGGUGAACUGAACUCCCGUAACGAAAUUCCCCUCAGCCACGUGAACUCCUCGUCGUUCCGUCAGUGUCACUGCGACGGGCAAAGCGCCCUCUGCCCCCGUUCCAAAUGCAGUAAGAAAUCCGGGCUCCGGCUUCGCUUCGUAUUUGACAAACUAAUUUAAUCAGACCCGUUACGGACACGUGCGGUUCUGCGGGGAAUCGGCUCAGUCCGAGCGCCGGCCCCGGCCGCUCCUCCGCUCGGAUUCUCCGGUUUCGAUCUGAGGACCCCGGGGCCGCCCCGCGCUUCGAGCCCACGGGCGGAGACGUUCCGGAAAGCAGACAGCAGCGCACAGCGGUCCGGGUGCGACCCCUCUCGCUCUGCGUGCCGAGACCGCCCCGAAUUAACGUUUCCCGUUCUCCGUCCCUCUUCCCCAGGGCAGCACGGAGCGCUGCGGAGCAUCUCUGUGCCCUCGUGAGAGCCGGCGGUGCAACGAACGGCAGUCGUUCGUACGGCCGGAUCGUUUUCCUGGCGACUCCCACCUCGCGCCCGUCUUUCCCCGCGCAGCGCGUUUGUCCGCACGGCAGCGGCGCAGCUCUGACUUUACGCAACAGUGCUGCGGAACCCGCGAGGCCGAACGUCUGCGAGAGCCGCCCCUGCCGCCGCCCGCCGAGCGCCCCGACCACCCGCAGCACUCCGGGCCGAUCCGACCCGGCCGCCGCGGCGCUGCUGGCGGUUCCCUUCGUCCCGUCUCUGUGGCUCCGCGCUGCCGCCGUCCCCUAAAAAGCACGACCACAGGAGCCCCCUCCGGCGCAGACCCACCAAGGCACGGACGGGGUUCGAACCCGUGAUCUUCGGUUUACGAGACCGACGCCUUACCACUUGGCCACCGCGCCUGCGUUAACGGCUCGGCCCGAGGCCGUUCUGUCGCUGGCGCCACUCCCGCUGCUCCGCGGCCCUCGCGGUGCGCGCGCGUC
Molecule: long non-coding RNA, 1342 nt
Organism: Gallus gallus (chicken)
Lineage: Eukaryota; Metazoa; Chordata; Aves; Galliformes; Phasianidae
Source: Ensembl